AUUGAACGAGGGAGGAAGGAGGUACACAUGCAAGUCGAACGGCAGCACGGGGGCAACCCUGGUGGCGAGUGGCGAACGGGUGAGUAAUACAUCGGAACGUGCCCGGUCGUGGGGGAUAACGUAGCGAAAGUUACGCUAAUACCGCAUACGAUCUGAGGAUGAAAGCGGGGGACCUUCGGGCCUCGCGCGAUCGGAGCGGCCGAUGUCAGAUUAGGUAGUUGGUGGGGUAAAGGCCUACCAAGCCGACGAUCUGUAGCUGGUCUGAGAGGACGACCAGCCACACUGGGACUGAGACACGGCCCAGACUCCUACGGGAGGCAGCAGUGGGGAAUUUUGGACAAUGGGCGCAAGCCUGAUCCAGCCAUUCCGCGUGCAUGACGAAGGCCUUCGGGUUGUAAACUGCUUUUGUAUGGAACGAAAAGGCUCUGGCUAAUACCUGGGGCUCAUGACGGUACCGUAAGAAUAAGCACCGGCUCACUACGUC
This 484-nucleotide ribosomal RNA is filed under the name uncultured bacterium. RNAcentral describes it as "partial 16S ribosomal RNA". It matches the Rfam family "Bacterial small subunit ribosomal RNA", at positions 29 to 507 of the family's 1533-position model. The record is from RNAcentral.